Molecule: long non-coding RNA, 27523 nt
Filed under: Aquilegia coerulea
Lineage: Eukaryota; Viridiplantae; Streptophyta; Magnoliopsida; Ranunculales; Ranunculaceae
Description: long non-coding RNA (ACOE_LNC002131)
Source: RNAcentral
GCUUUUCAUUUUGAUUCUAUUAGUGGUUUUUUCAAGAGUAAUGGUGGAGAUUUCAGAUUUGACUUGUUAUUUCAGCUAGGUUUUAGGGUUUUAUAAAUUAAGAGCUGGUUUGAUGAUGUUUUAGUUGGAAUUUGUGUAAAUCUGAGUGGAUUUAUGAAGUAGAGUUGUAAGAUUGAAGGAAUUUCAGCUGGAGAAAAGGUUGAGGUUCUAUGGCGAAGAAACAGAUUUGGAAAUUGGAAUUGAGUUAGAGAAGAAGAGGAGACGGGCAGACCGCAGACGGCUAGGUUUCUAGCAGAAACUUAUGCUGUUAUGUUAUAUAUAGUGGGGGUGGGAUAGGAAUAACAGAUAUUAGUGGGGGUAUAUAAGUAUAUAACUUAACUAUAUAUAAACUCGAGCUACUCGGCUCGGCUCGAAUAAAGCUAGGGCUCGGCUCGAGCUCGAGACGAGCCUAAAAUCUGCUCAAGCUCGGCUCGUUUUACAAGAUGAGCGAGCCCGAGCCGAGCUUUUUUCGAGCCGAACACGAGCCGAGCUCGAGCUGCUCAGCUCACAUAACACCCCUAGACUCAAGGUGCAUUAUGCACCAUGCUCUGCCGAUGCACUAUUUAUUAGUGCUGUAAGGGGUAAGGUUUUGAAUUUGGGACUUGGAAUUAUGUAAAUAGAGGUUUGUCUCUAUGGGUAGUGUCAACCUGACGGUACCUUGUGUACGCUGUUCAGGCAGUGUAAGUGGAUUGAGUGAAUAUAUUUCUACAUUUUAUCAAAAAAAAACAAUUAAAAGAUCUAAUUCUAAAAAAUGUUUAACACAAAUGUCGAGGUCAAUCCUACACCACCAAAAAACAAUAACCAAUAUCUAAAUGACACAUGUAAAGUGAUUUACUUUACCAAGUUAAACCCACAUUCUAACCGAACUGAACAUAUUCUUUGUUGUUGAAGCUAAACCUUAACUUCAAACCCUUAUCUUCCUAUCAUCAUCUUCAAACCCUUAUCUUCCUAUCAUCAUCUUCAAACCCUUAUCUUCCUAUCAUCAUCUUCACCCCAUUGUCUUCAGAUCAUCAUCUUCACCCCGAUCUUCUUCAAUUUUUGUUCUAACUUUAUCAAAUGGCUAGUUUAUUCAUUUUUUCACCCCAUUUUUAUCUAAUUGAUUUUUGGGUGAUGUAGGAUUGACCUCGAGAUUUGUGUUAAAUAUUUUUUAGGAUUAGAUUUUUUAGUUGUUUGUUGUUAGAUUAACCUAGAGAUGGGUUUAAGAUCUACGGUUGGAAACAAAACCACCAAAGUGUUGCUUACGUGGCAGUUUAAGUGGUUUUAUAGAGUUGGGGGCAAAGGCUAAACAAAAUGGAGGGGUAGUUUGGGUAUUAGAAGAAAAAGGAAGCAAUUUUAUGGGGUAUUACUAAACAAAAAAAAAAUCUAGGGGCAUUUGCAAACUUGGCAUUCAAAUCUGGGGGCAAUUGCUAAUUUUUUUCUUAUUUUGUUGGCAAGAGAGGUUGUGGGGACCCCUUCCCCUUUUAAAUUACGUGUGGAAACUUAUAUCAACAAUCCGCUGUUAACGUGUUUCGAACCCACGACCUCUCCACUUUGUGAGAGGAGUGCUACCAUUGAGCCAUAGGCUCAUUCGCUUGGGGGGGGGGGGGGGGGACAAUCUUUAAUUACCUCUUUUUUUUUUUUUUUAUUAGGCUGUUGGAAAUGUUUUGAGUGGUCAAAACAUUUGUAUAUGAAUGAAAAAUUAAACUCCUAAGUUAUCCACUAAUCAUGACUAACUUGUGUUAUAGUAGAUAAAUAUGUAUGUAUUUUACAUACAUUGUAUUUGGUCCAACCCAUCCCAAUCGGUGUGUCUUUCCCCAAUGGACACAUACUUUGUAAACACGUAUUCUGAAUAGGUGUGUCUGUUCCCAACAGGUAUUGGGUCAGGUGUCUAUUCAAAUAUACAUUGAAUAGACAUGUGCCUUUUUGAAAAGGUGUUUUUCCUACUAUAUAAGUGUGUCUUGUGUUUGUAGUCAAAUCAUUUUUCAAUCAAAUUUGUUUUCCAUCUUCUAGUGUAUGUGUCUUGUCAUGAGAGAGUAUAACAAAGAAUUGGUUCGCCGUCUUUUAUGCGUUUGAAGUGCUGCUACGCUAAGAAGGAUAGAUCGUUGUAUCCUGAGAGACAAUCCGCCAUUGAUAAAUCGUUCGGCAUAUGUACAGGGCGAAUAAUAUCUUAAGAAAAAAGAUUUUAUCUCGACUCGAUUUAAAUCUUGUCAUUCAUCCAUUUAUUAUGGUUUGCAUCAUCUAUUCUCUUUUAUUUAUUUUAGAACAGUAAUAUAUCGGUGUAUAUUUUCUUACAUAGGCAUCAAGGCAUCAAGCCAUCAAGCAUAUGCUGAUAAUAGCAAUUUCCCGGCUUACUUGGCACAUAAAAUUCAAUGGGGAAGUUGAUGCCAUGGAUAUUAUAAAACAACUUGCGCAUUCCCUGAUUAAACAACAUUAGUAUUCCUGAGCAAACCUAGCAGAUUACAUUGUUUUGUUGCUCAUUAACAUUGUCCUUUUGUCCUAAUGUUAAAGUUGCUUUUACAGAAGCGGCAAGAAGAAGAAAAUGAAAUGACAACAAAAAGAAUGACUACCAUUAGAUGAUGAAUCACUGACUGUUCCAAAUAUAUCUCUGUCCAUGCAUUUCAUAAUUGAAACACUUGUGAAACUCUCCAUCUUGCCUAAUCAAGACUAACACAGAACAACAGUUUGUGCUUGCAAUCUAUUAAACUUCUUUCACCAGACCAUUCUUCAUCUUGCAUAAUCAAGACUUACACAGAACAAAACUGCUAUAUUUAGAUAACCAAGCACAUAUAGCUUUGCUCUGUAACAUCCAUAUGCGAAAAAUGAGCAAUGUUUGAUAUCACCUUUACAAAAUGGUCACAAUUUAGAAACAGAUUAUUACAUAUUUACAUGUAUCUUUCUCACCUUCUAAGCCUUAAAACUAAAUGAACAUCCAUUUACACAAGAAAUAUUACUUGAAUGGAUCACUAUUUAAUAUUUAUGUUAACCUUGUUCCUGAUAACUUGUGUAAUUGAUAGAGAUUUCUCGAAAUAAAAACCCGAUAUGCUGAAUUCAAAUCUUUGACUGUUCUUCAGGAAGAAAAGCAUAGGAUGUCUACAAGUAUGCUAGCUCUAGUAGUGAGUCACUGACAGACAUGUUGGUAAUGGGAGCACUGUCGCACUGAUUCUUGUUGCAUCUACGUAUCCACGAAUUGGGCUCAAACAGGCCCAUAUUGCACAAAAGCAUAGGAGGACGUACGUACGUCGAAAUCACGUACGUACGUUACAACACAGAGAAGUUAUCUGGCGUACGGGACGUUCGUACGCCCUAACUACGUACGUACGCCCCUGUACAAGUAAUACAACGUUCGUACGUCGAAAUCACGUACGUACGUUUCUUCCCGAAACAGUUAUCUGUCACAUUGAACGUACGAACGCCCUAACUGCGUACGUACGUUCCUGAGUGAAAAACUUCCCUCCGUCUGAAUUUGCACAUAAAACCCAACACCAACAAAUGCACCACCAUGAUGACCUGAUCCAUAAUAUCAAAUCUAUAUAUACGGGAGAUUGGGUUAUAUACUUAUAUCAAAUCUUUAUUGGAGAUUCUAAUAAAUAUAAUUGGGUUUUCUACUUUUCUUUGUAAAACUAUGGCUUUUGCCAUAUCUCAUUGAGACUGCAAGAUUUAAUUAUGUGUUUGGUUUCUUCUGUUUAAUUUACUCUUGUCUGAACCAUGCUAGAUAGAUGUAUAGCAUGGGAAAUUAACAACAACAGUGGAAUUGGGAUUAGUAAGUUCAGUUGAUUAGUAAUCUAUUAAUCAAUCUGAUUUGAGGACUAAUGAGACAACUUAGCAGAUUACAUGGUUUUGUUGCAUAUCUUUUUAUUUUUUAUUUUUUUACGCUAAUGGUAAAGUUGAUUUUACAGAAGUGGCCGCAAGAAGAUGAAAAUGAAAAUAAGCAAAAAGAAUGACUGUCAUUAGAUGAUAUAUCUCCUGUUGACAUUGAUAACCUAUUUCCAGCAUCAAACACAAUUCUAGAAACACAAUUGAAAUUUGACUCUCAAAACUUUUAUUAAUGGCAUCUUUAGUCUUAACUCCUCCUGCUGCCAUAGAGUUUCUCUGUUCCUACUUCCCAUCUGCAUUCCUUGUGUUAGUUAGGGAAAAAAGUCCUCAAAAUCCAACGGCGUUUUUCGUAGUUGCAACAAGAAUCUACGUAUCUAUUAAACUCCAUUCACCAGACCAAUCUUUGUCUUGCACAAUUAAGACUUACACACAGAGAAACUUCUAUUGUUAGAUAACCAAGCAUCAAGCUUUGCUCUAUAAAAUUCAUAUGCCGAAUAUAAGCAAAUGGUUCAAUUAUCACUGUUACAAAAUGGUCACAAUUUAGAAACAGAUCACUACAUGUAUCUUUCUCACCUUUUAACGCUGAAACUAAAUGAGCAUCCCUUCACACAAAAAAUACUACUUGAAUGAAUCACUAUUUAUGUAGACAUGGUUCCUGAUAACUUGUAAUUUAUACAGAUUUCUAUAAAAUAAAAAAUAUGGAAGCAUACAAUAAAUGACCAGUCAAUCCAGCAUAAGCCGACUUCACAUCUUUGACAGUUCUUCAGUAAGAAAAGCCUGGGAUGUCUACAAUGUCCAAGAGCACUGCGUCAAAUAAGUUAGGCCUCUAUUUCCAAUGCAAAGAUGCUAGAGCACCACCGAUGAAAGGGAUUAUAUGUCAUUAUGAACUACCGUUCAAGUGUUUCAACUCAUCUAUGUCACCCUUACACUUCAUCGUCAAGCCUUAUCUUUGUCAGAACUCACAAGCUCCAUCUUUUUAACAUAAAAGGGGUCUGCCUGAUUUACCUUGUUGUGCGAGUUUCUCAUACCUGGAUAAUGGUCAUCUCAUCAAACACUUGUAUUUCCAUGCUGCGUUGCAGAUGAAGCAAAAGUUCUGCAUAAUCAUCUCUGGUCAUAAAUCAAUGACCAACAAGCUGUAUGUUUUAUUCUUUCAAAGUAUCCAAGUUGUUGUUUGGGUUCUGGUCCUUCCCCCUCCAAAUAAUGAUUUGACUAUCUUUGAAUAAAAUUGGAACACAAGGUACCAGUUCCUGCAUUGAAGAAAAGGAAAAAAGAAAAGAAAAUUGUAAUUUAAAUUAUGCUGUUCAGAAUUGCUCCAAAAAUAAGAUAUAAGUGUAUGGUGUCAUACCUUAAGCUUCACUCCAAUCUUCUUGCAGUCACUAGUUUCCACAUGUGAACAAUCUAACCUCACAACCUCUUCAGUUUUGAAGGCCUCCCUUACCCUUGCCACCACAUUGACAUAGACCCCGUUCCUGGCUGAAGAUGAUGAUCAAUCAAUUCUACUUACAAUUAACCAAAAAAGACACAUUUAGAGUCAAAUCCACUUACUGAGUUUCAUUAAAGCUGGUGAAUUUAACCCUCUGUUCCUCAUCUCUUUUGUUUCCUCAAAUGUUAGGCCUUCAGCAAUGUUUUUCACAAGCUUCGGAUAGAUUGGUGCUAAGGGUUUCCAUAGCAUCAGAGGAAUAACUGGCCGAUUAUUAGGGUCAUAGUUUCGCCCACGGUACAGAAGAAGAAUAUUUAUGUUACGAUAUAUUAUUCUUCCACCAGUUUUGUCCUACAUAUAGGACCACAUAUGUAUAUCAAGAACACCGUUUUAGAAAUUUUACAGAAUUUGAGAAACUCACGGAAAACUGAUAAAAGUCAACAUUAUUUUACCUCAAGGUGAAAGCAAACAUUGUCCAUGUCAAGUGUUGGCACCCCUAAGCAUUUGAUCCUCACAGCAUCAGCUCUCUUCCAAUGGUUAUGGAUGUCAUCCAACAGGUUGUGCGUUACUCCCCCUUUGCCUAACAUGAAAUUAAAGUUCACUUAGUGAUGAAUCCAUCAGCAAUAUAUAACAAUUACUGAGAUGGAAAAUAGGCUGGGCUGACAACAGAAACAAAGAUAUCCAUGAUCAUGCAAACUAGCAUCUGUUUCAAAGGGAGACAAACUAAGCCUUAGCCUAAAGUUUUUGAUCGGCUGAAAGAACAUCGCUCAUUCUGUUCCAUCAGAAUUACGUCCUAUGACAACUUUAGUGCCUAAAAGAGUCUAAUGACCUGUUGGUCAAAGUUAAGGGAUUUGGACCCAACGCCUUGAUGUCAGCUCCCACCUUUUUGCUUUUCUAUGGGUGGCGUUUUUCUCUUAUCACCACUCUGAGCACCAGAGCCAAAAUUGAAGACUUUUUUUAAGGUAAUAAAUUUCCACAAAUCCAGGAUUCUCAAUGUUUUCUUUAAUAGUUAUUCACUUAUUCUAUUCAAUAUCUUCAUGGUAGUCGUGAAUUUGUUGAUUCUAGAUGCCCACAUAAAGCUUAGUUCUUUUAUUGCAAGAUUAUCAACUUACGAAUUUAUGGGUGAAAUGUGUAAACCAUCUGAACUCAAAACCAUACGAUGAGAAAAAAAAAAAACUCAUCCCUCAUAUCAUGAAAUUUGUCAUUUUGCUGUCAAGCUAAGAAUGGGUGAUAGAGAGGCAGCAGCAUGGCAGAAUCAGAGCGCAGCAUCAGGUCCAUACGGGAUAAAACAAGUUAAACAUAUUUAUAUUAUGAAAAGAAUUCUUAUAACUCAUGUUUAUUAGCUAGUGUGCUAACAAUAGUUGACUUGAGGCAACAAGAGACUUUAACAUUUUAGGGUUCCAUGACAUUGUCUUAAAUAAGAUUCCAAGUCUUGGAACCCUAAAAUGUUAAUUCUUAAACUAUAAAACAACGUAUAUAUUAAUAUAGGAUAUGAGUUAUUUGUAGUUUAAGAAUUUCAUGACUUUGUGUUAGAUGGGAUAUGAGCUUAUUUUAUCGUUUGGUCUUUUAGACUUCCAUGAAGUUACCUUAGUGCAUCACCAACGCAAAGUGCAUAACUGACACUCCACAUGAGAUCCACAUAAUUUUUGUUUAUUUUUUUAAUCUUUGAUGAAUUAUACAAGACUACGUAAUGGGACCCAGCGUGUAAAAACACUGGAGCACCAAAGGGAAGUGUACGAUCCCUACCAAACCAAACACUGGGAACCAGGUGAUUUGGCGCACAUUCAGAAAACUGAUUCCAAGUAACUUUGCCCUAGGUGGAGUGACACUGGAAGAGAACAGUUGGUGAAAAUCGGCUAAACUGAUUCCAGUUAAAGUGGAGUGUGAUGUGCGAUGUUCACUGAAUCAAGAAGACUUGUUUAAUAAUUUCAAUUUUUUUUUCUUUUCUUUUUUUUUUUUUUUUUUAUUUCCGAGACAAUAUUUUAUUGAUUUUUUUUUAUUUUUUUUAUUUUUUGAUUGUUAAAACAAAUUGCAUUAAAAAGUGUGAGAGGUUCACACUAGCCCAAAUUACAACCUGAGUAACUCAGUGUGCAAAUAAAUUGGUAAAGCCCCUGAAGCACUUUAUCAACUUGCCCACUCUCAAUAAUUCUACAAAAGAUCUGCCCACCAGACCUACCAAUUGAUAUAGCAUACACCUUAAUAAGUUCCCCCUUGCAAGAUUAAAAUACAUUGGAAACAGAGUCUGUCUUUUCUGAUCCUUUCACACACUGUGGUGGCCCUUUUUCUUUUUCGCUCUAACGUACACCAAUCUUACCAGCCGGAUUUGGGUAUUACACGCUCUAAGGAUAAACCAUACAGAUACUGCAUUACUCUCCACUUCUAUACCCUUAUCUUUCCUAACACAAGCCAAGGCAGAAUUCAAUUCCAUCCCUGCUUCUUGAGUUUCCUGAACUCUUGAGACGUUCCCAACAUCAUCGGAAACAGCUUGUUCCGACCCAGAGUCCUCUGCAAUCACAUUAUCGUUUGCAAACGAAUCCUCUUGAGGUUGCUCCGACUCACUAUACUCUAUCAUAUUUUCGUUUUCAAACGAAUCCCCCAUCUCACUAUUAGUGGUUGGCAGCGAUUCCCACUCACUUUCACCAUCAGUCAUGCAUUCUUCUGCCCAUUUUAUGACCUUCCUCGAGCCCAUAUUUUCCCCUGGAUUUGAAAGUUGAAAUACUUGUGGCCUAACACAUGCUGGGCCUCUAUUGCUGGGGUCCACCCAAACUGAUCUCAAGUAAUUCUGAGCAUCUGAUAUUGAAUCCUGACUCAUCUCAGGAUAUAAGUCUUCAUUUUGGGCCUGAAGCCGAUCUGACACAAUUUCAGAUCUUAUCUGAUAACGUGGCAUGUUGUCUUCCGCUAAUGUAUUUGAAAUUUGAAAAGAAGCUUCUGUGCUCUUUUCUCUCUCAUCCCUUGAUUCAGUACACUCGACCAUAUUGUUGGUAGUUGCGUCUCCACCUCCCUGAUCACCCUCUCCUUUGCCACGUCAGCAAACCACUACUCUCUGGGCACCUCCCACCUUUUGAGUAGUCACGGAGGGUGGAUCUAUUACCUCCCUCCUCCCAGCACAACACAUUGUUUCAAUGUUUGCUUUGAAAGCAACCCAUCCACUGAAGUCCUCACCAGCCGGAACACAAAUUGUGACCUUCCCCUUCGGUAGUUGCUUUGAGAUGAACAUCAUCGAGACGAACCUACCAUGUCGGUUCUCUCUCACGACCAUCUGGACAGUUACGUCUUUGAACUUAUCUUUCCCCAACAAUCCCUGAUCUCCUGAUCUAUCCUCAAGAACUUUCAUCCUCUCGCUUGACACCCAGCUCCCUUUCGAUUCACCUUAAGGGUAAAAUCCUUUCCCUUUUCUGUUAAUCUCACCUUGUUAUUUCCAUCACUCUCAAGCUCGAAAGUUUUCCCAUCGAUUUUGAAAGUUUUUGUUCGUCGCUCCAUUGCUCAAGAACUUAUAGAUCACUCAAUAACUUCCCUUCAUUGAGUACAUAAAACAGUUUGUUCCAAGAAGAUUAAUUAAAAGAAUUUAUAAUAUUUUAAUUAUAAAACAGUUUUACAAAGGCAAAAGAAGAUGUGUGACAUAGAUCCUCACGGUCAUCUUUAAAAAACUAAUAAAGGAAAAACAAAUGAAAAGUCAAAACCCCAUAAACUUCUUCAAAACUAAAUCCUCUUCUCUCCAUGGUUUACAAAUGCCAAUACCACAAAGUUGCAUUGACCUUCAUCAUCAGCUUAUCAACUAUUGGCACCCAUCCCUCAAACGAAUAUUCAUGCAUUGAUCUCCAAGUGGACCAUAAUACUACAGUAGCUACAGUUCCCUUCGAAGGUUUUCUUUCAUGCCAUUUAUUGGAGCUGUGGUUGGAUCGCAAUAGGAGACUUUAUGAAUUUUUGAAGAUAAAGAGGCCGCCUCUUCUAAAGCCAUCUCCUUAAUUACGUUUACAGUGUGGAAAUGGACUUAUUUCCUUCCCCUAUGAGGUCAUAAUUGACGAUUUUAGGCUAAAUUGGGGAAACAUUAUGUUGGGCUGGGUAGCGAUUUUUCUCAACCAUAUUUCCAUGACUAAUAUAGUUCAUAUAGUUUCUUCCCCCAAGUCAGCCCUAUUAAAGGCUGAACCUCAUAUACUUUCACCGAAAUGAAAUAAUUCCUGACCUGUUCUGUAAAGGAAGAACAAAUGAUCAAUGGACCUUGGAGUUAGCCUGCACAGGGCACACUAUAGUUGUACAUCCAUUCAUUUGGCUGUGAAGCAAAACCUUUCUGUAACUUUUACCCCAAGUUAUACACACCAAAAUAAAAAUCUCACUUUGAGAGAAACAUGCAACCCCAACACCUUCUGUAGUGAGAAAAAACACUGCCACUGAAGCUCAUCAUUAUUUCAGAUAUCAUACAUGGUCUUUGCAGAGAAGACUUUGUUUCUGCCCCACCUUCAACCUAACUGGCCCAACUGAUCAUUAAGAGCAACCACAUGUAGCAGCUCAACCAAUAGCAACCUAUGACCACCUAGUAACAACCCAUCCAAAAAUGAAAAUUCCAUGUCCCACCACCUGUAUUGCCAGUGAUGUGCUACAGUUCCAGCUUCAACAUGAAGAGGAGUGAAAUUCCCUAACCAUUAUAUCGCAUCAGAAUCUUCCUAGUUCCCACCAUUACCUAGAACAAGCUGAACUACAUGAAGGAUCUCAUCAUUUGAAAGUGUCCAGGGGUCUAUUAGUCAAGACUUGGGAGGUUGGGCCCAAGGUCUUUGGAUCGAGUCCCCUUUCAUGGUUUGAAAGGGAUUAGGGUGAAAUAUUUGUAACAAUCAAAAAAAAAAAAAAAGGAUCUCAUCAUUUGAAGCUUAAAUGUCUCUCCACAAGGCACACCCAUGGGUAGAAUGCACAUGAUUUAUUUUUUAUCACCCCAUUUCCUUCUCUCCAUAUUUAUAUGCAAUUAUUCCUCUCCACUAGCGAUCCUGUUCAAAUCCACAACGCCACAGCCACUUCCCCUAGAGAGCCAAAUUAAACUCGUUUAAGUUUCCUGAUGUUUAAGCCAGCCAUCUUCUUGAGCUCUUGAGUUUAUUCUACAUCAUGUGAUAUCCAAUUCUCUGGCUCCAAGUUGGUGCAAAUUGCAACUUGUAAUCUAGAAACUUGCAGUAAUUAGGGUAACCACUACCAUUCUUUUGCGUGUUCAAUAUUUGAAAAUGAUAUAACUUUUUAAAUAACAUUAGAGUUCAUAAUUUUAGUUGGAAUAUUUCUGAAUAAGAUAACACGGUUUAGAACCACAAUUUCUGUCAUCUCUAUCCUAAACAAAUAUAAACAUAGCAUCUCUACGCAAAUUAGCUCAAGCACUAUCAUCUCCAAUUCAAAGACAUUAUCUUGUUAUUUAAGGCUUUAAGCAAGCAUUACCAAAUUCAGAAAAAAAAAAAAAAAAAAUCGAACUUAAAAUCCAAUCAAGUUUAAUAGAAUGCAAAUCAAUUUACCUAGAUUAAUUUGUCGAUUGCAAUCGUUAUGCCGAUACCGUUCAACAAGCUCAUCAAUUUCUUCAUCAGUAAGUGGUUCACCAAGCACUAACUUCCUUUCUUCCAAAAACUUCUCCAAAUUCACACAUUCUUCUUCUACUGGAGCUGAAGUUCCAGUCCAUUUCCGAUCAAGUCUUCCAGGACCAAAUGGUGAAAACUUUGGUGGUUCUCGAAAUCCAAUUGGUUUUAUAGAUGGAUUACUUUCAGAAUAAGAAUACCUAAAAUCAAAUGGAAGUUCAGAUCGAAAUGCCAAUUUCUCUUCUUUUUUCAAAUCACAAUCAACUAAAUUAGUAACUUUUUUAGGGUUUUUCUUACUUGAUUUCUUCGAAAUUUGUGUAAAAGGAGGAUCAUAGAUAUCUUCAUUAUCAGGUAAACAACUUGAUUGAUUCAAAGAACGAGUUAUGAUUAGGGUUUGAAUAGAUGAAUAACGCCAUGAUCGAAAUCCAAGCUUCAACAACAUCAUGAGAAGUGAAAGUGGAAGGGUAGUUCUGUAAUAUUAGAAAAAAAAACGUGUUCUUUAACUAAAGUCAGUCUUUUUACCGCAUUGCGGUAUAACAAAAGUAAAGUUGUUUCCUUUUCUUUAUUCUUUCGAGAGCUUCUAGGGUUUUUCACAGAAGUAACGAUGGAAAACAAAGAAGAAGAAGAAGAAGAAGAAGAAUCGCAAAAGCAUUACAAUCUUGGAGUUUUGUUAUGGAAAGAAGAAGAGAGAGAGAAAGCAGUUGAGCAAUUCGUUAUAUCAGCAAAACUAAACCCUAAUAAUGGUUCAGCAUUUAGAUAUUUAGGGCAUUAUUAUAGUAAGAUUUCAAUUGAUAAAUCAAGAGCAUUAAAGUGUUAUACAAGAGCAGUGAAUUUGAAUCCUGAUGAUUUUGAAGCUGGAGAAGCAUUAUGUGAUUUGUUAGAUGAAGAAGGGAAAAGAAGUUUGGAAAUUGUUUUAUGUAGAGAUACAUCUGAGAAAUCUCCGAAAGCAUUUUGGGCAUUUAGAAGAUUAGGUUAUUUACAAGUGGAAAUGAAGAAAUGGUCUGAAGCAGUACAAAGUUUGCAGAAUGCUAUAAGAGGUUAUCCUAGUUGUGCUGAUUUGUGGGAAGUUCUUGGUUUAGCUUAUCAAAGAUUAGGUAUGUUGACAGCUGCGUUAAAGUCGUAUGCGCGAGCAAUUGAGUUAGCAGAUACAAAUUUGAGUUUGAGAGUGUUUGCAUUGGUUGAGAGUGGGAAUUUGUUGUUGAUGCUUGGUAAUUUUAGAAAGGGUAUUGAGCAUUUUCGGUUGGCGUUAGAGGUUGUGCCACAGAAUGCUGCUGCGAAUUUUGGACUUGCUUCGGGAUUGCUUGGUUUGUCAAAGGAAUGUGUUAGUUCUGGAGCAUUUAGUUGGGGUGCUUUGUUGUUGGAGGAAGCGGCUAGUGUUGCGAAAGCUACUACUUGUUUGAUUGGUAAUGCUUCUUGUGUGUGGAAGUUGCUUGGUGAUAUUCAGAUUGCUUAUGCAAAAUGUUUACCUUGGACAUAUGAUGAUAAAUCACAAAGCUCGAUAAAUUUUGAGGCUUUUGGAGUUUCCAUCAUUGCUUGGAAACGUAAGUGUUUAUUCUCUGCAGUUUCUGCUAGUCAUUCUUAUCAGAGGGCUUUGCGCUUGAACCCAUGGCAGGCUAACAUAUACAUAGAUAUUGCAAUAUCUGUCGACCUUAUUCAUUCGUUGGAGGAGGAGAAGCAGGAUCAAGAUGCUUGGAAACUUCCAAGUAAGAUCUCCCUUGGUGGUUUGUUACUUGAGAAAGACAAUAGUGACUUUUGGGUGGCAUUGGGAUGUCUAUCUCGAUAUACUGCAUUGAAGCAACAUGCACUUAUCAGGAGUUUGCAAUUGGAUGUAUCUCUUGCCGUUGCGUGGGCAUAUCUCGGAAAGUUGUACAGAAAGGAGGGUGAGAAGACAUUGACAAUGCAAGCAUUUGAUCAUGCUAGAAGCAUAGAUCCUUCCCUUGCAUUACCUUGGGCCGGCAUGUCUGCUAAUAUUGAUCAGCCUGGAGGGUACACGCAUGCUGAGGCGUAUGAAAGCUGCCUUCGAGCUGUACAAAUAUCUCCACUUGCAGAAUUUCAAAUCGGUCUGGGGAAACUUGCUUUCCUUUCUGGCCACCUGUCAUCUCCACAGGUGUUUGGUGCUAUUCGGCAGGCAGUGCAGCGUUCUCCUCACUUUUCAGAGGUGCAUAAUUUGAAUGGGUUGAUAUCUGAAGCACGCUCAGAUUAUCAGUCAGCUGUUGUUGCUUACAAGCUUGCUCGUUGUGCCACUAAUAUUUCGGAAGGACCUGCUACAGAAUCUCACCUCUUUGAUAUAUCAGUUAAUAUGGUGCGAGCUCUUUGUUUGUCUGGAGACGCCCUAGAAGCUGCACGUGAAUGUGAAGAUUUGCAGAAGGAAGGUAUGCUUGAUAGCAUGGGUUUACAAAUAUAUGCUGUCUCUUUGUGGCAACUUGGAAAGCAUGAACAGGCCCUUUCUGUAGCAAGACUCCUAGCUGCAAAUGUUUCUACCAUGGAUCCAUUAACAGCUGCAGCCUCCAUAAGUUUAAUCUGUAAGUUGUUAUACCAUAUUUCGGGGCAAGAAUCUACCAUGACUAGCAUUUUAAGAAUGCCGAAAGAUUUAUUAAAGAAUUCAAAAAUCAGUUUUAUUGUAUCUGCGCUUGAUGCUCUAGAUCAUAGUAAUCAACUUAAGCAAGUUGUUUCAAGCACUCGCACCUCCCUUACAUCAUAUGAAGAGAUUUCUGGAAUGCAUUCUUUAAUUGCCCUCAGUAAAUCAAUGAGAAAUGGAACAGAUCAAAGCCUGGGAAGUCAGAGUGGAAUUGCUCAUCUGAGAAAAUUUCUUCAUGUGUACCCUAACAGUAGUACUCUAAGGAAUCAACUUGGUUAUCUCUUGCUAUGUAGUAAAGAAUGGAAAGACAUUCAUACUGCAGUAAGGUGUAUUGUGAUAGACCCUCCUGGCCACCCAGUUCAAAGUCGAAGAUCAGCACUUGAGAUCCUUGGUGCUGCAGGAAUGGCUUGUUCUGAAAUCGGUACCACCUACCCCGGAUUUUCUUUUCCCACUUGUAAAGAUGAGUUCAUGCAUGGAGCUCAAAUCAUUCAACAAUUACAGAGAUGGUUGCAUCAAGAACCAGGGAAUCACAAUGCACGGUAUUUGCUUGUUCUUAAUCUUUUGCAGAAGGCACGUGAAGAGAGAUAUCCUAGGCACCUCUGCGUUAUGCUUGAAAGACUUGUACAUGGUGCUCUUUCAAGUAAGAUAUAUUCAGAGAACAUUGUGUCUUUUCAAUAUCAAAAGUUACAGCUUCUACUUUGUGCUUCUGAAAUCAGCUUUCAAAGUAGGGAUUACGUCAGCUGUAUAGACUAUGCAACACAUGCAUCAAGGCUUUCAGUUCCUGAUAAUGUUCUCUUUUUCGUACACUUGUUUUUAUGUCGAGUUUAUGGAUCUCAAGGUGAUAUAACAAAGUUACGGGAAGAAUAUACAAAGUGCUUGUAUCUCAAAACAGGGUAUCCAGUAGGUUGGAUAUACCUCAAAUUUCUUGAAUCCAAAUACAGGCUACAGGUUGAUUUCGGUACGGUAGACACAAAUUUAAAGGAAUGUUUGGAAGAGAAGAGUUGUCCGGAGAACAAGUGGACUGGUAUCUUUGAGGUAGUGCGAUGUCAGAACUAUAUAUGGGAUCAGAAUUUUCUUCAAGCAGAGGAAAUUAUGCAAAGUAGUUUAUUAGCUGGUUCUUCUGAGAGUUGCCUCUUUCUAUGUUACGGGGCCAUCUGCUUGCAACUUGCCAGGAUGAACUGGAACUCCCAUAUUCUAGAACUUGCAGUGAAAUGCCUCACCAAAGCUCAAGAAACGUCCUCUACUCCUUUACCUUUUAUUUCGGUUUUGCUAGCUCAAGCACAAGCAAGCCUUGGUUCCAAGGCAAAGUGGGAGAGAAGCCUACGGCUUGAAUGGUAUUCAUGGCCACCAGAGAUGAGGCCUGCAGAGCUGUACUUCCAAAUGUAUUUGCUGGCAAGACACCAGAAAACUGGACUUGACUCUUCAUCAAACUCAGAUCAGAGAUCAAAUAGGUUGAUACUUCGUGCAAUACAUUUGAACCCCUCUUGUUCAAGAUACUGGAAGCUUUUGUGCAAGAUCAGAAAUGAAUGAGAAAAUCUUUACUUCUAGUCCUCAUGUUUGUUCAUCUUUUGUUUCCUAACAAGGGCUUCGUCCACAGCUUUGUUGUACAACAACUAUUUUUUGUUUCAAGUUCUAGAUUAGAUUGGUUACACGACCUCAUAGAUGAGAACAAGAAAACAAGAAAAUGGGAGUGAGCUCAGGCCUCAGGAUCCCAAAUCUCUGUUGUUAUAGAAUAAGUUCAUUUUUUUUUAAGGGUAAGCAACUAGGCAUUAUGCAUGUAAUGAAAAUUGUAUUGUUUGUCUGCUGAUUUGUAUAUAAUGUUGCUUUGAGAAAAGGAAGCAGGAAAAAUUGACUUGGAAUUGAGGUGUCUUAUACCCAUUUAACACACUAUCUGAUUGUUUUUUAUGAGCUGAUGAACUAAAACCUGAAAUGAAUCACUACUCGUGGUUUUAGUAAUAAGCAGCUGAUAUCUAAUAAAAAAAAGUGUGCAUCCUAAAUCAGAAUAAGCAUGAUGAAAACUAGAAACACCCAUACCCGAGCAGCCUCAAGUGAAGAAGUCAGUAGGAUAAACAAAAGAACUGAAAGCAGUAAGCUUUUAAGGUAGGUACUGAAAUUGACUCUGGAAGUUCUUUGCAUGAACCAAUCAUCAUCAAAAUUCCGUGUAUUUAUAAUCUUGAAGAUCGUGAUUUAGUCUCACAAUGCCAGUUAUAGUACAACUUCUUUGGAAUAUAAACUUUCAUGUUUACAUUUGUAAACAACAAUUGUUUACACAUUCUCAAACUGAAAUGCAAUACAAUAGUUUGAAUUCCACAACACAAGUGUAUAAUUUAACAACUUGAAAUCAACUUCAAGAGCUCAGUAGCUUCUCUCAACCUCCUCUCAUGGCAUUCCUUUGCAGCAGGACAAGUCUUCCUGUAUAUGAAAUAUAAAGCAAGUCGAUGAGAAACAAUAGUUUUGGGUAAAGAAAUACAUGCACCAAAAUUUGAACUACUAAAUAAACCAGACCUCUUUUCAGUGACUUUCCUUGUAAGAUCUUUGACAAGCCUGUGUAGCCUCUUAAGGAGAGCUGGUAAGUUAAGAACAGAAGCCACACCUUUCUUUGUGGAGCACAAUUUCUUCAAAAGAUCGGAAGCAAUGAAAUACCCCUCUUCUUUGUUCCUGAAUGUUGAGCAGAAGAAAGUGAGCACAUGAAAAGUAGUAACAGAAAUUACACGGCUCUUAAUCCUCGGAACCAGUGAACCAACCUAAGCAUCUCCCUGAGGAUCGUUUCUGUAGAUCCUUUAGUAUCAAUCAGCACAUCAGCCAAAAGUGGAUAGCGAGAGAUGUUUCUAAGAGUAGAAAGAGCAUGUUUCAAAACCUCUUGAUCAGGGAUGCUACGACUCACAGAGCUAAUCAGCUUAAGCAAAGUCUCAACUGCUCCUGCAGCUACAAUUGUCUCACAGCAUCUCUCAGAAUGUGUGGUAGCAAUAUCUGAACAAACAAAGACAACCAUAACUCCAGUUAGAAAAGUACACGGCUUCUGUGGCAAGCUGCAAUACAUAUACACAAUGAUUUAUUUCAGAACAUAAAUUAGGGAUGAGUAAGCGUUCAGAGUGCAGAGCCUUUAGCUAAUAACUCGUAAGAACCUAAUCUUAACAUUAUUGUUGUUGUUUAUCUUAUUAAAUCUAUUCCGGUAUUCCCAAAUAGAAAAACACAAACACCAACAAUUUAUAAAAGAACCCAACAACAAAGAAUGGAAAGCAAAACACAGAAUGACACCGCGAAGCAUACUGAAGCCGUGAAGCGUAUCCAUGAAGACUAUUUUUUAUAAAGAUGGGUAAAAGUAAGUAACUAAAACACAGUGAAUCUUUAGAUACCUAGAGUUGAACAAGUAUGAAGAAUGCUACUAAUACUUCUCGUGUUCAGCAGUUCGGAAAGUGCACACACAAGUCGGUUGAUAAGACGCAUCCCAUCAUCCACAUUUGAACAAGAUCUCUGCACUCUGAAUCGUAGAUCCAAAAGUUGCCCUUUCAACUCUUUCCGUGCAAGAUAACCUUUCCAAUAUGACUGUCAUAUCUCCAAAAUAAGUCAAACCGAAAUAUAUAAUGGAUCCAUCAAAUCAAUUUAGCAGAAGAUAUAGUAGUUAGCUCAAGACUUCCAAGCAGAAAUAAAAUUAUGCAUGUUAAUGCAAUAAAAGAGGUACUUUAUCACCAACUGCAAAAGAGCAAGCUGCAAUAUACGUAUAAAGUUGCCAUGUGGACAGUGACUUGGUAAGUCUUUUUAUUGUACCCUUUCCCCUGUCCCUGGUGCUCAUCCAUCUGUCUUAUCUCUCUUAUAAGCCUAGUGCCUUAUCUCUCAAGACCAUGUUGGACAUUUGGCUGUGCUAAGGAGACAGUCUCGAUAUGAGAUAAAGCACUACACGAGAGAGUAAUAUGCACUUUUGCGUUUUCUAUCUUGCAUUUUAAUAAUAAGAUGAAUACUUAGAAUAAAUCUGCAAUGUUCAAUGCUAUUGAAAGAGUUAAUAUGCAUUUUUCCAAGUGAAUGAUCAAUUAAAAAAGGUUUGCACAACAACGAAGUGGUCUAUCUAGUCAACCAGACUUUUAUGAGAAGUUUAGAAGUUAUGCUGCAAAUUUGGUAAUCAUAAGACGUUCCUUUAAUCAUAUAUAUUUUUGGGUACUUAAAAUGUUUUAGAUUUAACAAACGACACCUUCUACUGAAACAAGAGAACAUAAAAUGCAUUUAGUAAAAGUUUAGAAACCACACAUUCAAAUAACCAUCGAUAAAAGAAAAUCCCUAAAAAUGGUUCAACUGACACAAGAGAACAUCAAAAUAAUUUACGAGAUUGUGGGGACAUCUUACUUGAAUCACAAUGAUACGGUGUUUUUCUCUACAAGCUUCUUGUUUAGCCAUCCACCCACGAAUAUAUGAUUGAAUGGUCAUUGCUGACCUCGUUUUCAACUUGAGUAAUAAAACUCUUUUCCACCACCUUUGCAGUUUCAUCACAGAAUACAAGAAAAUUUUGAAUUCAAGACUAAUGGUGCAGCCACUUGAAAUCAGACCUGUGGACCCAGUAGAGCGAUAGAAAGAAACACCUGCAGUAAUAUCAAUAAACAAAAUAUGGUCAUGUCUAUAAAAGGAUAAAGCUGUUUCUGUAGGAGUAGAUUGUGAUAUGGCAACAUACCUUGUUAUGAUAAAAGAUAAUUAUCUUUUGCAUGUAUGUGGCGUUGUCUAUUUUAAUUGUAAGGAUCCACUAUCCUGAAUCGAGGGUCCAUCUCUUAAAGCCAUUUCAUAUUGCACAUCAUUAACAAAUGAAUGCAAGUAAAAAAUUCCUAUUCUCUUUGAUGUUCAUAGAGGGCUUUUUAAACCAGGGCACAACAGGAUUUUAUUUCCACAAGUUGAUCAACUCCAGUGUUACAUUCUUGGAGACUAGAUAUAAUAUUAGAUAUGAAAGCAUGAUUUUUUUUUUCUUCAACUUCAACAAAACUAGUAUGUUUUAAGAAAUAGUGGUAAGAGAUAUUUGCUGGUAUUUCUUGACAACGAGCCAACGAGUGAUACCACUAACAAAAAUCAAAUCUUGCAUUGUUUAUUUGCAAUAAGUAUAUGGAAAUAUCAAAUUUAAAGUCCAAUCAACUGAGCGAAUUUCAAGUACAUGAAAUAUUUGACACGUACCUAAUAGCUUAUUUCGAGCAACUUGACCUCUGGCAUACCGUUGAAUUUCGAUAGCUGCACGCCUAUAUGACCGUAAUUCCCUGACACUUGUCAGGCAUUGAAGACCCCUCUGAAUGACUACUGCUGCCUUUCUUUGCCGUACAUAGUCCCUCCGAACUAACAACCCACGCCACUGACUCUGGAUUAAUGCAGUAAACAGUUGUGUCACAUUGCAAACAUUAUGCAUGUUAAGAUAAAACUAUGUUAGAAGAUGAAUGAACCGUUAAUAGAACCCAUUUUGUUGGCAUAAAGAGAGCAAUAUGUAUUAAUAGAAAAAGAGAAAAUGAGAUUUAUAUCAGGAAAUAACGGAGGCUCCAACCCUCAUGUAAAUCUUUAAUAUGUUAAUAAUAGAUUCUCCUAUUAAGAAAACCAUUUAGAGACCCCCUCCCAAAAAGUGAUCCCAUGUAAUGUACAAUGUAAUAGAAAUAAGAUAAUGCAGUCUCACACAAUCCAUCACUUGCCAAGGACACGCAAGCAAACAAACAAAUAACAUAAACACAAACACGUAAGGAUUCCAGCUUCUUAUUCAUAAAUAAUGACUGACAACAAAUAUUUGUAGCUGGCAUAAAUCCCAUAAGAAUUCAGUAUACUAAGCUGGAACGUUCCAUAUACAUGUUGAUGUUUUAACACUUGAAUCAAGUUAAUCUAGUAAAAGAUCGGCUUCACUGCCAGGAUUUGAUCCUCAGGGAAGAGGUUGAAUAUAUUGGGAGCUAUGGGAGCAAUGGGGCUGUGACAACCAUUCAGACCCGCAACAGUCACAAUGUUCGUGGAAGAGCAAUGGGAGCUCAAUUUAAACCAACAGAAUGCUUUGAUCCAUCAAAAAGUCAGUUACUCACUUUGCUUAGGAAAACCCAAAAUUAUGUGAUUUUGUUCUGAUUAAAUUCAAUGCUUUUCAUUUCUCAAUCUUAUUCAAGUUCCAUUUCAGUUUCAGUUUCUGUUUGAAACCAAUUUCAUUAGAUACUGUUGUUAUCGAAUUAGACUUUCAAUAAUAAUCUAUGGUAUGCUUUAUUUUGAAUCAUAUAUACAAUGUUUUCGACAGACAUAAAUGGUUAACAUUCAAGCUUCUUAUGUUGAACAGCUGGAAAAAGGUAGCUUUAUUUCUAAACUGUUUACAUCUAUUUUAGUCCAAACUAUAUUACUGGUUAAAGUGAUGGGACAUCAUUAAUGAUAACAUUUACUUCUUCAAAAGCUAAAAUAUAAUUGCCACUAUGGAUAAUUAAAAAACAGUGAAAGAAUUUAGAAGCAGCACUUCAAUAGUGCAUGUCGUAAAGUUUUACAGAGAAUACUUACUUGGAUCAAAAGAAUAAGAUGCCUCCUUUUGUCCGCUUCAUUACGACAAAUCAAACCUCGAAAAUGAGACUGAAUGAUGAUGGCUGCCCUAUUUGCAAUUCUGUAUUGUUGAAAAUCCCUCUGAUAUUUUAAUGAGUGAUAAGCCCCCUGAAUCCUGAUAAUUGCCUUCUUCUGUUGCAAAAAAUGUGUCCUUAUUGUCCAGGCACGCCAAUUAGUCUGAAUGGUUGUCGCAGCAAGACAUUUUCUAAUUAUCGAUUUCCGCCAUCUUCUCCAAGCAAUUAUCAGUGUAACUAUUGUUGUUAGCUGUAGGCUUCUAACUUCCUUCUUUACAUGACCAUGAACAUCUGUAGCUCGAUCAGCAAGAGCCAGAAUUUCCGAAUUUGAUUUACUUUUGCUGUUACGUUUUUGAGUAAUCCAAGUUCUUGCAGCUUGCUGAAUAAUUAAAGCAGACUUUUUUAAGCUGACAAAGCUGUGCCUCUGAACCAAGAACAUGAGAUAUCUUCCAACCAUGUAUGGGUGUUUCUGACAAUCUGUCCAAUUAACAACACAACAUGUAAGUAGUAUAAUCUGACCAAUGGCAGCCUAAAGAGCAUAGAACUGAGUUCAAAGGGAUUGAUUCAGCUGUCUACCCAGAGAAAGCUGUUUGGACAUUGGGAAAGCACAUUUGUUGGUAGCUUUUGUCAUCUUCAAUGUUAACCAUGCUCGAAUUACAGAUUGAAGAAAACAAGCUGCUGACUUGAUCUUUAGAAAUUUGCGGCGUGCAAUCAAUCCUCUAAAAUGAGACUGAAUAGUUUUUGAAGCCUCCCCUGGAGCAAAAAGAUAAUGGUCACUUCAAUUACAGAUUUGAUUUCAAAAGUUGAUCUACAUAAAGAAGUCUUUGUCUCAAAGAACAAAUCAAAAGUAUUAAUACAUUCCUAGCAAAAUAGAGGACACCCAUCCCCCAUCCCCUUUACUUUCUCUCCAGCUCUCCCUCCUCCCAAAUAAAUGAGGAAGAGCUACACAUGCACAAUCCAGAGACAAACAUACAGUAUAUAAAAGAAAAGAAACUAGGAUAUCAACACAGAUAGCAGCGACAAAAGUAGAUUUCUUUAACCAUGUAAAAUCUGAAGGAAUUGCAUCAAAUGGAAAAAAGGGGACUCCAAGUUCAUUGAUAUUAAUUUUGUAUAAGAAUUACCCCUCUGACUUUGAGAUAUCAAGUCUCUGCUAGCUGUAUGACACUGUAAGGGAUUUAUUAGUUUUAUUGCGCAGUUGUUGUGAUGCUUUGCCAUAUCUCUCCACCAAGCCUGAAUAACUUUAAACUUUCUUGCGGCAUCUGUUUAAAUACAAUACAACGAAAAGAUGCUCAGAGUCACAUUUUAGAAGUGUUCCUGAAUACAUAUGAUAAAGCCCGUCACAGUAGAUAAGCCAAAAGAUUACUGCAUAGCAUCAUAUUAUAGCAACCACAACAACAACAAAAAAAAAAAUUUGAGGUUAUUACAGAUUUCAACAUUAUUCAUGGAUAAAUGAAUUACUUCCAAAGACUAAACAAGCAAACCUUCGUUGUAGUACUCGUCCAACCCAUCAUGCUUUACUGGUGCUUCAGAACUCAAAAAACACUUGUGUGAACUCAAACGUUUCACGUCUGGAAUUGAACAACUGCACCCCAAGAGUCUGUGGAUGUUCAUAUGAUCCUAGAAAGAAGCUAAGAGUGUCAACAUCCAAUAUUACUAAAUUUCAUAGCAAAAUACAAUAACGACUUUGCACAAACUAUUAAACAUUACCAUAUGUUUUCGAGCAAUCAGUUGGGAUGAGAGGAAAGCCAACAGAACUAUCACACUCCGUUCAUUACAUGCACCUUUAUGUUCAAGUAUGUCACUAGUUUGCAGAACCUAAGAUAUGUAUUAAGCACAUUAGCACAAAGUUGACAGCGGUGUUUACAUUCCUUAAAAUAAAUUAAGCACUUGCCUCAGGAAAAUUUCCUAGCAUUGUUGUCAGCUUCUGGGAUAAGAUAAAGUUGUGUACCGCAUCUGAACAAUUCAUAGCCCAAAGGUUGGGACCUCCAUGCCCUGUAAUAUGAGCCUUUUGCCAACAAAAUAUGACAAUUGACAAAUAUAAGAAUAGUGAACGGAACUUCUACGGCAUGAGAAACAAAGAUAACAGAGAGAAAUAACAAUUCUACCUUACAAGAAGAAGAACAAUGAAAUUCAUGACGAAAGUAAUAGUCAAUCAUGCACCACAUUGCUUUACCAUCAACCAAAGCUGCAUAAUUAGGAAUCUUGAGAUCAUACUUUAGACAGAUAUCCUGUGACAUCAAGCAACAGGUCAUUGAUAUGAGAUCCUCAAUGUAGUUAGAACAAGUACUUAUCCUAUAUCAUCUUAUGUUACUGAUAUACAAGGUGAAAGUGAAGAACAAAUAAAGAAAAUAAACAAUGAAAAACACAAAUUGAUUUAAUCGACUUUAAUCAUCUACAGAAAGAAGAAAAUGUUUAUCCAGUGAUGUGUCCACUCCAUAUGGCCCCUCCUAAUUGGGCAAACAAAUAGAAGAAAAAAAAAAGGCUCAAUUUGGUAAAAUAACGGCACUGACCAUGUUAUAGAAUAUACAACCUAGGUAUUUUGAUGAUAAUGUUUUUGAUCAGCAAUAUAAAAUAUAAUUAUACUGAUAAAGCUUAAUGAAGAAACAGACAUCCAUAUUUCUAUGUCAACCAUCACUACAAGGUGGGUGAAGGGAUCAAUCAAUGCAAUAUUCAUUAUUCUUGACUUUGAUGCACAACUCAAAAGAGAAAUGCCUUUUAUGAAAAUACUAAAGGAAUAUAAACAAUGAGUUGAAAUAGAGUUAUAGAGAAGGUGACAAAGAAAAACCAUAAUAUAAAAUACUUUUACAGAAUUCACAUUCACAUAAUACUCAGGCUCCUUCAUUACAUUUACCAGAGCGUACUUUUACAGAAUUCACAUAAUAAUACCUGAAUCCAAUGUAGAAUCAUCUCUAAGAGGUUCAAACGUUCGCUCAUUAAACAGUCCUAUAAAACAAAAACAACUGAUCAGUAGAAAACGAUCAGAAAAUAAAUUUCAGCAAUACAGUUUCAUUUUCCAUGCAAAGGUAAUAGGAGCAAGAAUAAAGGAUGGUAAAUAAAGUUAAGGUAGCAGCCAAUUCUGAUCCAUACAACACCAGAUCAAUACAAUGUGAAAAUUCUAUGGGGGGAAAUAGAGGUAACCAUGUAACCUAAUAGUGAUAGCAUUGUCAUGACUGUCAAGGGGUUUGUAUGGAACUGGCUGGGAGGCAGCAACAUGAACAGAGAUCACCACUACCAGGAUCUAGUCUGUGGUUGGAUACACCUGCUCACCCCAUGAUGUUCAGCAUGCUGCAGAUUGUCGCUGCAUUUCCAAUGUACGUUAACAGUGCUUGUGAGUUUUCACAGCCUGGAGUGUACUCUUUGCCAGUUCUAAUUAAAGUGCUUCUUAACAAAAAAGUAAUCCAGGUAAAUGAAAAAUUAUGUUCUUAUUUAUGAUUAUAUAAAGGUAAAGUAGUUACAUGCAGGUAAUUUCGUAGCAUGCAUACGGUUUUAAAUGGUUUAAAAUUUCAAGCAAAGUGGACAUACUCAAAAUCAUUAAACAUACCAUAUCAGUGCCUUUGAUUUUGCGCAUUUCUUCAAACAACAAUGAUUUAUUGACUAGAAGUGGCAGCUGCAGAAUCAAAAGAUUAGCAUCAAUAAUGAUACAGGAAAACCACAAAGAAGAUAAGAUAACUAAAGGCACGAAAAUUCCACAAAUCAUAGAGUAAAACUAAAUCUAAUACCAAUGGAUUAUUUAAUUGAUACAACACCCUCUCAGAACUACUACAAUUUUACAUAAAAUCUUUAAUACCGGAAUCAAUAGCAUAAGCAAAGGCAAUAUCACUCUAUCGUUGAUUUCGAAAAAGAAAAGUUAUUUGGAAGCUCCAGAAACAGAGAAUCAAUAAGUUUUGUACACUUAAAGAUCUAAUUCCAUUUUCCAGUAUAGAAAAUCAUGUGUUAUAAAUCCCAUGAUAGUUUCCAUUGUAUAACAGAAAUUAUAUGAAUUCAAACAAAAUUCUGCUUGCAUAUUUAUACAUAGAGAUAGAGCGUGUGCAAUUCUAAUUUUUUUAGAGAUGAAUCAAACCUGUAAGUGAACAAACAUGUUCCAAAGCAAGGAAAGUGUAAGUUCUUUUUCUCCACUAACAAUAUCUUCAGCUAAUACCAUCACCCCAUCUUCAUCAGAUAAUGGCACUCCAGCCUGCUUGAGAUAUUGCAGGGCAACACCACAAUUGACCAGACUCUUUUUAUGGGUAUCUGAAGGAACCACCAUUUUCUGCCCAUAAGAUCCCAUAAGAUGAAAUCAAAUUCUAGAUUGUUUCCAAAUGAAUACCAAAACCACGACAACGUAAAAUAGUAUAAGCCAACCGUGAGAAUUGAAGUGUCACAUUUCAGAAGUUGAAUGGCUCUACAAAGCCGCACCCCAUCUUGAAGAUCCUCAGACAAGUCUUUCACACUGAAGUCAUAAUCAAGGAGCGGAUACUACAAAAUGGAAAUAACACAGAUCAGUCAAAACAAAAUUUUCAAAAACAUAUGCAAGAGACCUAUGCCAAAUCCCAUUUAAGAUCUCCAGGCAGCACGAAGAAGAAGAGCAUGUGUACCUGUUGAUAGGAUACCUUGUAUCCCACAAUCACUAGGUGCGCAAGAAGGUCACCUUCUCCAUGCAUGACUUCCGAUGUUAAAAAGUCUAAAUGUGAAAACAAAGCAAAAUUAGAGAUUCAGGACCUAUCUUGAAAAAUGGUGUUCAAAACUACAUUAAACAAAUACUAAAAAGAUAAUGAGUUAAAGGUUACCAUGAACAACUUGGCGACUUGAUUUAAUACUAGAAUGCGGAUCAAAUAAUAGAGGAGAACCCCCAUCUAUUCCAUCAAUACCAUACAUAAUAGGAAGGCUACUUUGGGAUUUAGCUCUAUCAAGUAUAAGAACAAGCAGUAAGAACCUCUUCAAUAUAACAUUCCCCAAAGCCUCAAAAUAUCCUGGUCUGUACAGACCCACAACUGACUUGUUAUAGGCAUAUGUUUUAGCAAGGUCUGCAUGUGAAAACAGUUGUGUCUCCACUAUCAUCUUGAGAAAUGAAAGUUCUUGAUCAGAAUUCACAUCGUUGGAUGGUAACAAUGAAUCACCCCCAAAAACAACGUACAGUCCUAUCCGUAGCCACAUCGAGUUAUAACACAUAAGCACACGCAUGGCCUGCUCUCUCAAUCUCACAUCAGUUACUAAAGGACAAUGUACCUUCAUUUUCAGUCUCCCUUCAUCUAUAUUCUGAAAAUAAUCCAUAAACAUAUAUAGUAUAAGUAGUGGAGUCGAAUGUUCAAAUAAUAAAUGGGACUAUAAGUGUGAUGUUCAUGAAUUAGAUAUAAAUUAGAAAGGGUAUUCAUUUCCUAACCUUUGUUACUUUAGUCAUGACUGAAAAAACUUCUUUACAGCUCUCUGAACUCAAAUACUCUCUCAUUCUCAGCUUCAAGUCAUCAAAACUGCAUAUUUCCUGCAACGAAACUUUAAGCGACGAAACCAUUGACGAAGACAACACCAAUGGCACCCCAUCAGAACUCCCUUGAGGCAGCCAAGUACAAUCUCUUUGUCUCUUUGGACUUCUCCAAGGUCCAUUAAUCCCAACUUCACUACUACUACCUGGCCAACUAUCUCUUUUCCCAUUCUUUCUAGAUUCUUCUACUCUAUCUUCCCCUCUUAAUACAGAAACAUCACAACCACAAGCUUUAGGAUUCUCAAACAAGAAAUUCAACCAAACAAAAAUCGUAUUCGAUAAAGAUUUCAAUGAUUUCUCUUUCUGAAUCUGUUCUUUUCUAGAUGAUUGAGAUUGUUCAAAUUCAAAUGCUUUAAGUCUACUAAAAACAUUUUUAGAUUUAGAAGAAGGAACAAUAGAAGAAGAUCUACGACGAAAAGAAGAACGUGGAGUUUGUUUAGAUGCAGUAAAGUAUUGUGGAAUUGGAGAUUGUAAAGAAGGUUUUGGGGUUUUGAAUUGGGGAAAUGGAGAUUGUAAAUUGGAAUUAGGGUUUCGUUUUGGAGUUUUGAAAUUAUUUGAAAUGUCUUUGAAGAUUGAAUUAGAAUUAGGGUUUUGUGAUGGAGAAGAAGAUAGUUGUUGUUGUUGAUCUGUUUCCAUUCUCCUUGUUUAAUUUUCUGAGUUUUUUUUUCGCGAUUUUGUUUGUUGGUGUUCGAAAAGAGUGAUGAGUGUCUGAAUGAGGAAAGUGUGAUUUGAAUUUGAAUCAAUGAGCGGGAUACCACGUCAGAUUGUGAAUACUGGUGUUGCAUAGCUGCAAAUUCUGAAGAAAACUUCGGUCCAUAGCGCUUAAAGUUAGGACCAAACCUGAUUUUGAUAAAAUGGUGGAGAUUUAUAUGGAAAUUCAAAUUUUUUUUCAAUUUUUGAUCUGAUUUUAUCUGAAUUCCAAUUUUUUGAUUUUCGUUGGAAUUAGUUUUGUGCCAACCGAUUUGAUUUUCGAAAAUUUUCAAAAUGAAGGACUUUUAUGAAAUUUACGUAGACCUAUUGAUACAAAUGUGGGUUAUUUUUAGGCAAAGACGUAUUUUCCAAUGAACAUUGUCACGGGAAAACAAGGUGAAUACACUCUUGGGAAAACAGGAGGUUUGGCUAAAAUUAGCCCAUCAUGGGUGUUUGAUAGCAUAGAUAGAAAAAUCGUUUAAUUUUGGCAUUGCUUUUGAGCAUUUGGUCUCAGCUCAUGAGACCUUCGUCCUUCUAGAACCUUCCAGAUAUACUAUAUAUUGAUGGACGAGGUUAUGUGGCUCAUCCAAUAACAUAUGCUGCAUGAGAUAGCUUCUGACAUGCCCUGAUAUGAAAUCAGGUCCUACACUGAGAGCUACUAGUAUCUGAUAUACUUUGGGUAGUUAGUCUAGGAUCCUAAUUUAGCUUCUUGGUUGGAUCCUCACCCAUAUGAGGGUCCUGGCUUGAACCACUUAUUAUCCACACAUCAACAUCCAAAGAAAAUGAGUCGUGUUCUUCUAAAUUCCUACAGUCGAACCUUAAGAAAUUUCUAGAGUCGAACCUUAAGAAAUUCCUAGACUUGAACCUCAAGAAAUUCAAAGAGUCGAACCUCAAGAAAUUUUUAGAGUUAAACCUCAAAAAAUUGAUACAUCUUCUUUAGAAAGAUAUUCAAGGUUACUUCAAGAUAUAUGGAGUUAUCCAACUUCUAAACGUGGGGAUAUUAGGCGUGCCUAUCUCAAGUUUGGACUAUAUCAACUCAAGCCUACGAAAAGUAAUUUUUCCCUCAUGACAAAAAUAAACGUCGAUUUCCGCCUUAUUGGUAUAAGUUAUUUCUGGAUUGGUUAGAAUACUCUCCUACCAAGAAUUGUGCAUUUUAUCUUCUAUGUUAUCUUUUCACUAAAUUGAAUGGUUAUCGUAUAACUAAUGCUUUCACAACUACUGGAUUUUCUGAUUUUCUACGUGGAAGAAAAUUAAUGAAGGGAUAAAGUGUUUUAUGUUAAAAUAUAUGGGAAUGGAUCCGAAUUCUCAUCAUAAAGUUGUUUUUGCAUGAUUAUGGUUUGAUGAAUCAAUUACAACACAUUGAGAUUAUUAUGGAAAAGCAAAUUUGUGAACAAGUUGCAAGAAAUCGCUUGCGGGUGAGAACUAUAGUCGAUGCGGUUAAAUGACUAACAUUUCAAGGUUGCACUUAUGGAGAAG